This 691-nucleotide unclassified non-coding RNA is filed under the name Hevea brasiliensis (rubber tree). Lineage: Eukaryota; Viridiplantae; Streptophyta; Magnoliopsida; Malpighiales; Euphorbiaceae. The record is from RNAcentral.
AAAAAAUAAAACAAAAGUUUUUCUUUAGAGAAAAGGCAAGAAAAUGAGCAGUAACUUGGAGUGUCGAUCAUUGCUUCAUGGAUUUGAUAAGGGAGGACUUUUUGAUUUGGGACAUCCUCUUCUUAAUCGUAUUUCUGAAAGUUUUGUCAAAGCUGCUGGGAUUGGUGCUGUUCAAGCUGUUGCUCGUGAGGCUUAUUUUACUGCUUCUGAAAGUACGGGUGGAGAUACAAGUAGCAUACCACCAGAGAUCACUGGUCCCAAGAAGAAUCGAUUUCCAGACCUUAGAGGUGAGACCAACAGAAAGUCAGUUGAGGCCCUGGUAAAGAGCACCGGAAAAGAAUCUGUUCAAUGGGGACUAGCUGCAGGGAUGUACUCUGGACUUACAUAUGGAUUAAAAGAGGCACGUGGCGUCCAUGAUUGGAAAAAUAGCGCGUUGGCGGGAGCAAUAACUGGUGCAGCGUUGGCUUUAACACUAGAAGAACGUUCUCAUGAACAGGUGGUGCAGUGUGCCAUCACAGGAGCAGCUAUCUCGACUGCUGCGAAUCUGCUUACAGGAAUAUUUUAGGCCGAAUAGGAUUAUGUUCAGUUACUAUUGUGUUUGUAUGGCACUGCACUAGACAAUUUAGCUCUCAUGUAUGUGGAUUUUUGAAUUUUGUGGCAUUUUUUGUGCCUCUACUACUUAUGUGGAUUU